GCUCCCAUGACGUAGACGGGUCACCUGUACUCGCCUUGCACGCGGGAGACCCGGGUUCGAUUCCCGGCGGGGUCA
RNAcentral lists this transfer RNA (75 nucleotides) under Diaphorina citri (Asian citrus psyllid). It matches the Rfam family "tRNA". From Rfam's summary of the family: Transfer RNA (tRNA) molecules are approximately 80 nucleotides in length. Their secondary structure includes four short double-helical elements and three loops (D, anti-codon, and T loops). Further hydrogen bonds mediate the characteristic L-shaped molecular structure. tRNAs have two regions of fundamental functional importance: the anti-codon, which is responsible for specific mRNA codon recognition, and the 3' end, to which the tRNAs corresponding amino acid is attached (by aminoacyl-tRNA synthetases). tRNAs cope with the degeneracy of the genetic code in two manners: having more than one tRNA (with a specific anti-codon) for a particular amino acid; and 'wobble' base-pairing, i.e. permitting non-standard base-pairing at the 3rd anti-codon position. Lineage: Eukaryota; Metazoa; Arthropoda; Insecta; Hemiptera; Psyllidae. The record is from Rfam by way of RNAcentral.